CGCUUACCACUUUGUGAUUCAUGACUAGGGUGAAGUCGUAACAAGGUAACCGUAGGGGAACCUGCGGUUGGAUCACCUCCUUACCUUAAAGAA
RNAcentral lists this ribosomal RNA (93 nucleotides) under Leclercia sp. LSNIH2. RNAcentral's name for it is "partial 16S ribosomal RNA". The stretch from base 1 to 83 matches the Rfam family "Bacterial small subunit ribosomal RNA", at positions 1451 to 1533 of the family's 1533-position model. The record is from RNAcentral. Lineage: Bacteria; Pseudomonadati; Pseudomonadota; Gammaproteobacteria; Enterobacterales; Enterobacteriaceae.